Molecule: long non-coding RNA, 3156 nt
Organism: Salvia splendens (bonfire salvia)
Lineage: Eukaryota; Viridiplantae; Streptophyta; Magnoliopsida; Lamiales; Lamiaceae
Exons: 5
Source: RefSeq, a predicted model, not a curated record
CAUUCCUUCGUCACACACACACUCACAGCAAAUCAAAUAAUUUAUUCAAGCAGUGAUACUUUAAAAUAUUACCAUACUCCCUCCGUUUCCAGUUUUGAGUACAAACUUUGAGUUCGGCGGAAUUAAGUAUUGUUUUAGCCUAGUUUGGUAGCUCGUAGAAACCAUAUUACCACAUAAAAGCCCAUAAAACUGGUCAUUUUCCUAUCUUCUCCCCCAUUUGGUGGCGGUUGAUUUUGUCGGAGAACCCGGCACAAAAGUUCCGGAACUCGGUGAUAUCCACAAUAAAAUCGGCGAGUCUGGCAUAAUACUAUCGAAGAAGUUGUGGUAUAAAGUUUUCUCGGCUUCGCCGGCUUCGUCUUCUCUCGUUUUAUGCCCAAAUUGCCCUCGUUGUUUUCGAGCUCUACCCAGCAUAAUACCUAUCCAUCACGAGUUGCUCAUUGGUGGGGCAAAAUUCAGGUUUCCGACCUGCACAAGAUCCACAAAAAUUCCUCGUCUAAGUGUCGACCCUGCUGUGUAUGAAGUUGCUGUUGAUAUGGUUGUGUGUUUGAUUGCUGGUGUUUGUGAUGAUCAGAUGCUGUCUUUACCAUAACCUUUUGGCUGUGUGGUUGAUUGCCGAUUGCCCCUGCUUUCAAUCGGGAAGGAUGGAGGAAGAGAUUGUAUUGCACUGAAGCAAGUUGAAGAGGGAAUGGCCUUUUCAGGGAGGAAAACGAAGACUGCAAGGUCUCAAGGAAAGAAGGUUCAGAUCACAAUUCAGAAGGAGUAUUCAAGGUUGUUAGGAAAUUUAGCUUGGGCCUAUAUGCAACAGAAAGAUUUCAAAUCUGCUGAAGAACAUUACAGACUUCCCUCGUAUGUGAGCUUUCGCUGUCCCUUCGAAGCCAUCAAAACAACUUCACGAGGAGGAGGAUGUUGAGCUUGGAUUGGUGAUGAAAGGAAAGGAUGGUGCACAUGUUUAUAUGGAGGGAAGGGGGAGAAGAUGUACGCCCCAAUCUGCAGAUAUGCAAGGACGACGGAGGGUAAGGGUGACCUUUCAUUUGAAAAAGGGAGGGCAUAUUUGUCAUUACAGUCCAUAAUAUAAUUUUCUAAUAUAAUGACUAAUGCCUACCAAAUGAUGUAUUAAGUCACAAAACAUUUCUAUCAAACACCAUCAUAAGUAUGAUUAGCUAUUUAAAAUUAUGGAAAAAGCCACUAUAUGGGAACUUAAUAAAACCUCAGCAAUGCUUACAAUCGCACUCUCACCUCAUUAGAGAGAAGAAAGUUUCUUAAAUUAAAAUGUUCAUAUUCUUUGGGGACGGAUGAAAAAGGAAAUAGUGCAUACCAUGAGCGGACCCACAUAGAGAAAGGGUGGGGCUUUAGCCCUUAAUGAAUUAAAUUUUUUUAACAUUUUUCUUUUAUAAAUUUUCCUAUGUUAUACGUAUAUUUAUAUUAAAACUCUUAUUAAUCAUAUAAAUUACUAAAAAAAUAUUUUUAAACUAUAUUUUGAAAAUAUAGUCCUUACUAAUGUUCAUUUUUACGUUCGUCCUUGGACUGUAUACUCUUUACGAACUGAGGGAGUAUAUUUUUUUUGUUAUGUGUUUCCCAUGUGGACGAGCUCCCCAACUACCAAGAAAUACACUAUAAGUCUAUAAGUAAUUGUUUAUUACAGUAUAAAGCUUUGAGGAUAUGAUUAUGUAAACAAAAUAACUUUACAUCUCCACACAACGUCCAACGAGUACAUAAUGAUAUAGUACUACUUAUAUCAAUAUUUUAUAAAUUGAAUAUUGUCUUUAUUCACAUCCUUAUAGAUAAAAAAGUGUGUGACUAAUAUUAAUGGUUUCCGUGUUCAAAUUUUAUUUGACAUUAAUUAAAUUAUAUAAAAAUCAUUUGCAAAAGAAAAAAAUUAAGUAUGACUAAUUUAUUUUAAAUGAAUAAUGCAUAAAUCUUCAUAACUACAGGGUUAUUAGUUGAAUCAAUUGUGAGUAGUAGAUUAGAUUUGUUUUUUCAAAUUAAAAAAAAUUCAAAUCUUAUCUAUAUACUAUGAAUAACAGAUAGGAUAUAGAGUUAUUAUUUUAUCACAAGUUUAAUUUUGAGCCACAUGGCUUAAAACUUAAUCUAGUACAUCUAUCUAAUUAUAUCCCUUUUAUCAUUGUAGAAAUAAAAAAGUAUGUGAAUACAAGAAAUAAAGUGGGCAGCAAUGAUGGAGGUGUGGUGGCUAAGCUAUGAUGCUAUCCACCACAAAACUCCUCUAUUUUAAACUCUUAAUCAAGUUUUAAUUUUUAUCAAUUAUAAAAUGUUUUAACUUCCUACAUUUCAUCAAUUAAUUUGUAUUUCUUUUUUGUAUUCAGUGAUGUCUAAAGAUAAAUGAUUCAUUUUUGUUCCUUUCUCUAAAAAUAAUAAAUCUCUCUCGAUUUUCUCUCAUAAUUUAUUUUUUAAUACUUCCAUGACUAAAUCAAUGGCUGACUUUGUCAACUAGAAUAGACAUUCGACAUCACAUUCAAAAGAAAAAGCCAUGUAGACAUUAGAAAAACAUGACAUAAUUGAAAAAAAAAAAAGUUACAAAACAUUGUGACAUUUUCUGGUAUUUUCCAAAUAAAAUAUUAAGUAAUAGUUCGAGUUUAGGUGAAGUGCAGCACCCUGCUCUUAGUGCAUCUUCCACUAUCUCCCAACUUUAUAAUCUUUUGCUCAAUCUCAGUGAUUGCUCAAAGCAAAAUCAAUGGAAACAAAACACACUACAUUUCUUCAUCUCUUCUUCUUCACCCUCCUUACCCUCCUCACAUCUCCAAUCAACGCCGCCUCCCUCAACGCAACGGCACCCUCUCCAUCGCCAUGCACAGGCUCGAUAGCCGAAUGCAACAGAGGCUUGGAGAUGCUGAUGGAAUCAGACAUCAGCAGAAGGUUUCUUGAACAGAAGAGAUACAUCUCACCGGGCGCUCUCAAGCCCGAUCAGCCUGUUUGCAACGGCGGAGCAGCAGGCCAGCCUUACUCCAGAGGCAGCGGCUGCAUCCCCGAGCCAUCCAAUCCUUACCACAGGGGAUGCUCCAGAUACUACCGAUGCAGGGAUGAUGCGUGACUCUUCUCAGUCCGCCCUCUCGUGCUUUCUUUUUUGUUUUUCGUUGUUUUCUUUUUUGUAUUUGCUGUUCAAGGUUCUCAUAUAGCAAUACAGAAUGCCUUCUGCAACAA